RNAcentral lists this ribosomal RNA (417 nucleotides) under uncultured soil bacterium. Its description in RNAcentral is "bacterial SSU rRNA". It matches the Rfam family "Bacterial small subunit ribosomal RNA", at positions 26 to 451 of the family's 1533-position model. The record is from RNAcentral.
AGCCUGAACGCUGGCGGCGUGGCUAAGACAUGCAAGUCGAACGGAUGUAGCAAUACAUCAGUGGCGGACGGGUGAGUAAUGAAUCGCUAACGUACCCCGGAGCCUGGGAUAGCUGCCCGAAAGGGCAGGUAAUACCAGAUGAGACCACGAACAGGCAUCUGUUUGUGCUCAAAGCAGCAAUGCACUCUGGGAGCGGGCGAUUUCGAUCAGCUAGUUGGUGGGUAGCGGCUCACCAAGGCGACGACGCGUAACCGGACGUGAGAGGUUGGCCGGUCACAUUGGGACUGAGACACUGCCAGACUCCUACGGGGGGCUGCAGUAACGAACUCUUCCGACAAUGCACGAAAGUGUGACGAGCGACGCCGCGUGUAGGACGAACGCCCGUUGGGUGUAAACUACGUGUCGAAGGGAAAGAAA